CGGAGGGGGCAAGCGUUGUCCGGAUUUAUUGGGUUUAAAGGGUGCGUAGGCGGCUUUGUAAGUCAGUGGUGAAAUACUCCAGCUCAACUGGAGAGGUGCCAUUGAUACUGCAGAGCUAGAGUACUGAUGAGGUAGGCGGAAUGGACGGUGUAGCGGUGAAAUGCUUAGAUAUCGUCCAGAACACCGAUAGCGAAGGCAGCUUACUAAAGAGUAACUGACGCUGAGGCACGAAAGUGUGGGGAUCAAACAGGAUUAGAUACCCUGGUAGUCCACACUGUAAACGUUGAUCACUAGAUGUUGGCGAUACACUGCCAGCGUUCCAGCAAAGCGAUAAGUGAUCCACCUGGGGAGUACGCCCGCAAGGGUG
This 367-nucleotide ribosomal RNA is filed under the name uncultured organism. Its description in RNAcentral is "bacterial SSU rRNA". It matches the Rfam family "Bacterial small subunit ribosomal RNA", at positions 526 to 896 of the family's 1533-position model. The record is from RNAcentral.